CCAAGCCGCCAGCUCCACCGUCCCCACGUCCGCCUUCACCCGCUCCUCCGUCUCCCAAGCCCCCUUCACCAAAGCCACCGUCGCCCGCUCCCCCAUCCCCCAAGCCCCCGUCACCCAAGCCGCCGUCUCCCGCUCCCCCGUCUCCGAAGCCACCUUCACCAAAGCCACCGUCUCCCCUCCCACCUUCACCAAAGCCACCGUCUCCCCUCCCACCGUCACCAAAGCCACCAUCUCCUAAGCCACCAACCCCACCAGUU
Molecule: long non-coding RNA, 257 nt
Filed under: Chlamydomonas reinhardtii
Lineage: Eukaryota; Viridiplantae; Chlorophyta; Chlorophyceae; Chlamydomonadales; Chlamydomonadaceae
Description: long non-coding RNA (CREI_LNC001080)
Source: RNAcentral